This 478-nucleotide ribosomal RNA is filed under the name uncultured bacterium. RNAcentral describes it as "bacterial SSU rRNA". It matches the Rfam family "Bacterial small subunit ribosomal RNA", at positions 100 to 565 of the family's 1533-position model. The record is from RNAcentral.
AGACGGGUGAGUAACACGUGGGUAAUCUACCUUAGGGACUGGGACAACAGUUGGAAACGACUGCUAAUACCGGAUGAUUCAUAUUUAGAUAACUAGAUAUGCUAAAAGGAGCUUCGGCUUCACCUUAAGAUGAGCCCGCGGCGUAUUAGUUAGUUGGUGGGGUAAUGGCCUACCAAGACGACGAUGCGUAUCCGAACUGAGAGGUUGAUCGGACACAUUGGGACUGAGACACGGCCCAAACUCCUACGGGAGGCAGCAGUUAGGAAUAUUCGUCAAUGGGGGAAACCCUGAACGAGCAAUGCCGCGUGAGUGAUGAAGGUCUUAUUGAUCGUAAAACUCUGUUGUAAAGGAAGAAACCUUACCAUAGGUAAUGAUGGUAAGCUGACGGUACUUUACCAGAAAGCCCCGGCUAACUACGUGCCAGCAGCCGCGGUAAUACGUAGGGGGCGAGCGUUAUCCGGAUUUAUUGGGCGUAAAG